Molecule: unclassified non-coding RNA, 377 nt
Filed under: uncultured Actinomycetes bacterium
Lineage: Bacteria; Bacillati; Actinomycetota; Actinomycetes
Description: uncultured actinobacterium contains 16S-23S intergenic spacer region
Source: RNAcentral
UCCGAGUUGACCCCGGCAGUCUCCUGCGAGUCCUCGCCAUUACGCGCUGGCAACACAGGACAAGGGUUGCGCUCGUUGCGGGACUUAACCCAACAUCUCACGACACGAGCUGACGACAACCAUGCACCACCUGUCACUCGCCCCGAAGGACCCCCUAUCUCUAGAGGUAAACGAGUGAUGUCAAACCCAGGUAAGGUUCUUCGCGUUGCAUCGAAUUAAGCCGCGUGCUCCGCCGCUUGUGCGGGCCCCCGUCAAUUCCUUUGAGUUUUAGCCUUGCGGCCGUACUCCCCAGGCGGGGCGCUUAAUGCGUUAGCUACGGCACAGAGACCGUGAACCAGUCCCCACACCUAGCGCCCAACGUUUGCGGCGUGGACUAC